UCCUGCUCCUUCUCCAUUGGCAGCGGUGUC
This 30-nucleotide non-coding RNA is filed under the name Mus musculus (house mouse). Lineage: Eukaryota; Metazoa; Chordata; Mammalia; Rodentia; Muridae. The record is from RNAcentral.